GCAUCCGUAGCUCAAUUGGAUAGAGCAUCUGACUACGGAUCAGAAGGUUCAUGGUUCAACUCCAUGCGGAUGCACCA
RNAcentral lists this transfer RNA (77 nucleotides) under Pedosphaera sp. RNAcentral describes it as "tRNA-Arg". It matches the Rfam family "tRNA". From Rfam's summary of the family: Transfer RNA (tRNA) molecules are approximately 80 nucleotides in length. The record is from RNAcentral. Lineage: Bacteria; Pseudomonadati; Verrucomicrobiota; Pedosphaerae; Pedosphaerales; Pedosphaeraceae.